This 460-nucleotide ribosomal RNA is filed under the name uncultured bacterium. RNAcentral's name for it is "partial 16S ribosomal RNA". It matches the Rfam family "Bacterial small subunit ribosomal RNA", at positions 338 to 795 of the family's 1533-position model. The record is from RNAcentral.
CCUACGGGAGGCAGCAGUGAGGAAUAUUGGUCAAUGGACGCAAGUCUGAACCAGCCAUGCCGCGUGCAGGAAGACGGCCCUAUGAGUUGUAAACUGCUUUUGUACGAGGGUAAACGCAGAUACGCGUACCUGUCUGAAAGUAUCGUACGAAUAAGGAUCGGCUAACUCCGUGCCAGCAGCCGCGGUAAUACGGAGGAUUCGAGCGUUAUCCGGAUUUAUUGGGUUUAAAGGGUGCGUAGGCGGGCGGAUAAGUUAGAGGUGAAAUCCCGAGGCUCAACCUUGAAAUUGCCUCUGAUACUGUUCGGCUUGAGAGUAGUUGCGGUAGGCGGAAUGUGUGGUGUAGCGGUGAAAUGCUUAGAGAUCAUACAGAACACCGAUUGCGAAGGCAGCUUACCAAGCUACUUCUGACGUUGAGGCACGAAAGCGUGGGGAUCAAACAGGAUUAGAUACCCGAGUAGUC